GAUGAACGCUGGCGGCGUGCCUAAUACAUGCAAGUCGAGCGAACAGACGAGGAGCUUGCUCCUCUGACGUUAGCGGCGGACGGGUGAGUAACACGUGGAUAACCUACCUAUAAGACUGGGAUAACUUCGGGAAACCGGAGCUAAUACCGGAUAAUAUAUUGAACCGCAUGGUUCAAUAGUGAAAGACGGUUUUGCUGUCACUUAUAGAUGGAUCCGCGCCGCAUUAGCUAGUUGGUAAGGUAACGGCUUACCAAGGCAACGAUGCGUAGCCGACCUGAGAGGGUGAUCGGCCACACUGGAACUGAGACACGGUCCAGACUCCUACGGGAGGCAGCAGUAGGGAAUCUUCCGCAAUGGGCGAAAGCCUGACGGAGCAACGCCGCGUGUGUGAUGAAGGUCUUCGGAUCGUAAAACUCUGUUAUUAGGGAAGAACAAAUGUGUAAGUAACUAUGCACGUAUUGACGGUACCUGCUCAGAAAGCCCCGGCUAACUACGUG
RNAcentral lists this ribosomal RNA (497 nucleotides) under uncultured bacterium. RNAcentral describes it as "partial 16S ribosomal RNA". It matches the Rfam family "Bacterial small subunit ribosomal RNA", at positions 28 to 507 of the family's 1533-position model. The record is from RNAcentral.